RNAcentral lists this ribosomal RNA (433 nucleotides) under uncultured bacterium. RNAcentral's name for it is "partial 16S ribosomal RNA". It matches the Rfam family "Bacterial small subunit ribosomal RNA", at positions 29 to 507 of the family's 1533-position model. The record is from RNAcentral.
AACGAACGCUGGCGGCAUGCCUAACACAUGCAAGUCGAACGAGACCUUCGGGUCUAGUGGCGCACGGGUGCGUAACGCGUGGGAACCUGCCCUUAGGUUCGGAAUAACUCCCCGAAAGGGGUGCUAAUACCGGAUAAUGUCUUCGGACCAAAGAUUUAUCGCCUUUGGAUGGGCCCGCGUUGGAUUAGCUUGUUGGUAGGGUAAAAGCCUACCAAGGCGACGAUCCAUAGCUGGUCUGAGAGGAUGAUCAGCCACACUGGGACUGAGACACGGCCCAGACUCCUACGGGAAGCAGCAGUGGGGAAUAUUGGACAAUGGGCGAAAGCCUGAUCCAGCAAUGCCGCGUGAGUGAUGAAGGCCUUAGGGUUGUAAAGCUCUUUUACCCGGGAUGAUAAUGACAGUACCGGGAGAAUAAGCUCCGGCUAACUCCGUG